UCCUUCUUAGCUCAGUUGGUAGAGCGCGUCACUAGUAUCGUAUUGCUAUGACGAGGUCAGUCGUUCAAGUCGGCUAGAAGGAA
Non-coding RNA from Crucibulum laeve, 83 nucleotides. The record is from the annotation of a GenBank genome assembly. NCBI's taxonomy places the organism in Eukaryota, Fungi, Basidiomycota, Agaricomycetes, Agaricales, Nidulariaceae.